GUCCCCGUAGUUCAACGGAUAGAACGAGAGACUCCUAAGCUCUAGAUAUAGGUUCAAUUCCUGUCGGGGACACAA
RNAcentral lists this transfer RNA (75 nucleotides) under Candidatus Wildermuthbacteria bacterium RIFCSPHIGHO2_02_FULL_47_12. RNAcentral describes it as "tRNA-Arg". It matches the Rfam family "tRNA". Rfam says of the family: Transfer RNA (tRNA) molecules are approximately 80 nucleotides in length. Their secondary structure includes four short double-helical elements and three loops (D, anti-codon, and T loops). The record is from RNAcentral. Lineage: Bacteria; Candidatus Wildermuthiibacteriota.